GAUGAACGCUAGCGGCAGGCUUAACACAUGCAAGUCGAGGGGCAGCGCGGGAUAGCAAUAUCCUGGCGGCGACCGGCGGAAGGGUGCGUAACGCGUGAGCGACAUGCCCGUUGCCCGGGGACAACCGGUGGAAACGCCGACUAAUCCCCGAUGGGAUACGAUGCUUCAUGGCAUUGUAUUGAAAGUUACGGCGGCGACGGAUUGGCUCGCGUCCGAUUAGCUGGUUGGCGGGGUAACGGCCCACCAAGGCUGCGAUCGGUAGGGGUUCUGAGAGGAAGGCCCCCCACAAUGGGACUGAGACACGGCCCAUACUCCUACGGGAGGCAGCAGUGAGGAAUAUUGGUCAAUGGGCGGAAGCCUGAACCAGCCAUGCCGCGUGCGGGAAGGAGGCCCUAUGGGCUGUGAACCGCUUUUGCCUGGGGGCAAUAAGGGCGUCGCGCACGUCCGAUGAGAGUACCAGGCGAAUAAGCAUCGGCUAACUCCGU
This 485-nucleotide ribosomal RNA is filed under the name uncultured bacterium. Its description in RNAcentral is "partial 16S ribosomal RNA". It matches the Rfam family "Bacterial small subunit ribosomal RNA", at positions 28 to 506 of the family's 1533-position model. The record is from RNAcentral.